This 346-nucleotide unclassified non-coding RNA is filed under the name soil metagenome. Its description in RNAcentral is "partial contains 5.8S ribosomal RNA, internal transcribed spacer 2, and large subunit ribosomal RNA". The stretch from base 1 to 120 matches the Rfam family "5.8S ribosomal RNA", at positions 35 to 154 of the family's 154-position model. The record is from RNAcentral.
GAUGAAGAACGCAGUGAAACGCGAUAGUUAAUGUGAAUUGCAGAAUUCAGUGAAUCAUCGAGUCUUUGAACGCACAUUGCGCCCCCUGGUAUUCCGGGGGGCAUGCCUGUCCGAGCGUCAUUGCUGCCCAUCAAGCGCGGCUUGUGUGUUGGGCCUCCGUCCUCCUCCCGGGGGACGGGCCCGAAAGGCAGCGGCGGCACCGCGUCCGGUCCUCGAGCGUAUGGGGCUUCGUCACCCGCUCUUGUAGGCCCGGCCGGCGCUUGCCGACACAUCAAUCUUUUUUCCAGGUUGACCUCGGAUCAGGUAGGGAUACCCGCUGAACUUAAGCAUAUCAAUAAGCGGAGGA